This 260-nucleotide long non-coding RNA is filed under the name Brassica napus (rape). RNAcentral's name for it is "long non-coding RNA (BNAP_LNC024154)". The record is from RNAcentral. Lineage: Eukaryota; Viridiplantae; Streptophyta; Magnoliopsida; Brassicales; Brassicaceae.
AUAGUCAGAAAUCAUAUGAUAAAUUCUUCGUAACAAAACUCAAUCCUAACAACCUAACGUUUAACGAAAAACCUAAACUUGUCGACAAUCGACCAAGUUCAAUACGUUCUACCAUUAUCUUUAAAACCCGCUAUGUUUUACCCGUAAAAUGUGGCAUGUAAGAAAAACUCGUACCAAAGCUCCUAGAGCUAUAUGAAACAUCCUCAAAUGCACACUAAAUAGAUCUCGGAAAGCCAACACUUCACAAAGCACUACGAAGG